This 2469-nucleotide ribosomal RNA is filed under the name Triticum aestivum (bread wheat). Its description in RNAcentral is "partial small subunit ribosomal RNA". Lineage: Eukaryota; Viridiplantae; Streptophyta; Magnoliopsida; Poales; Poaceae. The record is from RNAcentral.
AUGGCCGUCCGCGGCAUACUCCUCGCCCUCCUCCUCGCCAUGGUUCUCCCGCGCGCCAUCCUCGCCGCCUUCUCUCCCGGCUUCCAAUAUUUCCUCGCAUGCGGCGCCAACUCCGCCGUCUCCUUCCCGUCCGAUUCCCCCGCCAACAUCUUCGUCCCCGACGCCGCCUACCUCUCGCCCGCGGGCGCUCCGGCGGUGUCCGCCAGCUCCACCCUCGCCUCCCCGCCAGCUCUGUACGCCGCCGCGCGCGCGGACAUCUCGGCCUUCUCGUACCGCCUCCCUAGCCCCGCCUCGCCAGACACGUCGUCAUUCCUCGUCCUGCGCCUCCACUUCUUCCCCUCCUUCCCCGCCACCUCCUCUCAGUAUGUCAUCAACAUCUUGUCCGCGCGCUUCAACGUUUCGGUCGCCGACGCCUACGCUCUGCUGUCCUCCUUCUCGCCUCCGGCCGCCGGCGUCGUCAAGGAGUUCUUCGUCCCGCGCGACCUCUUCGAUGGCCACUUCCACGUCACGUUCACCCCGGACGCCGGCUCCACCGCCUUCGUCAACGCCAUCGAGCUGUUCUCGGCCCCGCCGGAGAUGCUGUGGAAUGGCCCCGUGACGCCGGUGGGAGCCGUGGUGAAGGACGACAUGGACCUGUGGCAGCGGCAGCCGCUGGAGACGGUCUAUCGCCUCAACGUCGGCGGGCCCAAGGUGAUAAUUGAGAACGACACGCUGUGGCGGACGUGGCUGCCCGACGGCCCCUACCUCUACGACGCCUCCGGGCUGUCGGUGGUGAGCAACACCUCCAGCCCGAUCAUCUACGAUUCAUCGAACGGAUACACGAGGGAGGUGGCGCCGGACGUCGUGUACCAGACCCAGCGCAUGGCGAACGUGACGGACUUACUGGCGGCGACAACCCCAGGCCUGAACUUCAAUCUCACGUGGACGUUCCCGGCGGUGAAGGGGUCCCGCUACCUCGUCCGCCUCCACUUCUGCGACUACGAGGUGGUCAGCUCCGUCGUCGGCGUCGGCAUCGUCUUCAACGUCUACAUCGCACAGGCCAUUGGCACUCCAGACCUCACGCCGAAUGCUCGGGCGACUCAGUCGAACGAGGUCUUUUACAAGGACUACGCGGCCAGGGCGCCGAGCGCCGGGAACCUCACGGUGAGCAUCGGCUGGUCGUCGAAAAGCAGCGGAGGUGGCAUACUGAACGGGCUAGAGAUUAUGAGGCUGCCGCCCGUCGAUUUGAGCUCGAGGAGGUACGGCAGGACGAAGAGGACCAUUGUCAUUACGGUGUCGGCAGUGCUCGGCGCCGCCGUUCUUGCUUGCGUGGUGCUCUGCUUUUUCGGCGUGCCGUACACGAAGUACAGUGGCUCCGGCUGGGCUGAGCAGUUCAUGAACCGAUGGUCCAGAGAGCGCAAGACCGGCGGGAUGGAGAGUGUGAGCAGGAAGCUGCACAUCGCGCUCGCGAAGAUCAAGGCCGCCACGGACAACUUCCACGAGCGUAACCUCAUCGGCGUGGGCGGGUUCGGGAACGUGUACAAGGGCGUGCUCGGUGACGGCACGCCAGUGGCGGUGAAGCGCGCCAUGCGCGCCUCGCAGCAGGGGUUGCCGGAGUUCCAGACGGAGAUCGUGGUGCUGUCCGGCAUCCGGCACCGGCACCUGGUGUCGCUCAUCGGGUACUGCAACGAGCAGGCGGAGAUGAUACUGGUGUACGAAUACAUGGAGAAAGGCACGCUGCGGAGCCACCUGUACGGCUCCGACGAGCCGGCGUUGUCAUGGAAGCAGAGGCUGGAGAUCUGCAUCGGCGCGGCGAGGGGCCUGCACUACCUGCACAGAGGCUACGCGGAGAACAUCAUCCACCGUGACGUCAAGUCGACCAACAUCCUCCUCGGGAGCGACGACGGCAGCACCGGUGGCGUGAUCGCCAAGGUGGCCGACUUCGGGCUGUCGCGCAUCGGGCCGUCGUUCGGGGAGACGCACGUGAGCACGGCGGUGAAGGGCAGCUUCGGGUACCUGGACCCGGGGUACUUCAAGACGCAGCAGCUGACGGACCGGUCGGACGUCUACUCCUUCGGCGUGGUGCUGUUGGAGGUGCUCUGCGCGCGACCUGUGAUCGACCAGAGCCUGGACCACGGCCGGAUCAACAUCGCCGAAUGGGCCGUGAGGAUGCGCAGGGAAGGGCGGCUCGACAAGAUGGCCGACCCGAGGAUCGCCGGCGAGGUGGACGAGGAGUCGCUGCUCAAGUUCGCAGAGACCGCUGAGAAGUGCCUGGCGGAGGCCUGGGUGGACCGGCCGUCCAUGGGCGACGUGCUGUGGAACCUGGAGUAUUGCCUACAGCUGCAGGAGACCAACAUCACCGGGGACGAACUCGACGACAUGGUGCCGUCGUCGACGAGCUUGUUGAUGGACGAGACCGGCUUGAGCAUGACCAAUGUCGCCGACAGCAAGGUAUUCUCCCAGCUGAGCGCCCGCGGCGAGGGACGAUGA